Molecule: ribosomal RNA, 494 nt
Filed under: uncultured bacterium
Lineage: Bacteria
Description: partial 16S ribosomal RNA
Rfam family: Bacterial small subunit ribosomal RNA
Source: RNAcentral
GACGAACGCUGGCGGCGUGCUUAACACAUGCAAGUCGAACGGAAAGGCCUGCUUUCCCUUGUGGAUUGCGGGUACUCGCGUGGCGAACGGGUGAGUAACACGUGAGUGAUCUGCCCCCAACUUGGGUAUAAGCCUGGGAAACUGGGUCUAAUUCCCGAUAGGACUGCAGGGUGGUGCCUGUGGUGGAAAACGAUUUUCUAGUGGUUGGGGAUGAGCUCGCGGCCUAUCAGCUUGUUGGUGGGGUAAUGGCCUACCAAGGCGGCGACGGGUAGCCGGCCUGAGAGGGUGGACGGCGACAUUGGGACUGGGAUACGGCCCAGACGCCUACGGGAGGCAGCAGUGGGGAAUAAUGGACAAUGAGCGGAAGGCUGAUGCAGCGACGCCGCGUGGGGGAUGACGGCCUUCGGGUGGUAAACUCCUUUCGAGCGCGAGGAAGCCACCUGGUUGGAAGGGUGGUGACGGUAGUGGUAGAAGAAGCACCGGCUAACUACGUG